RNAcentral lists this ribosomal RNA (406 nucleotides) under uncultured bacterium. Its description in RNAcentral is "bacterial SSU rRNA". It matches the Rfam family "Bacterial small subunit ribosomal RNA", at positions 354 to 777 of the family's 1533-position model. The record is from RNAcentral.
GUGGGGAAUAUUGCACAAUGGAGGAAACUAUGAUGCAGCGACGCCGCGUGAAGGAAGAAGUAUCUCGGUAUGUAAACUUCUAUCAGCAGGGAAGAAAAUGACGGUACCUGACUAAGAAGCCCCGGCUAACUACGUGCCAGCAGCCGCGGUAAUACGUAGGGGGCAAGCGUUAUCCGGAUUUACUGGGUGUAAAGGGAGCGUAGACGGACGGGCAAGUCUGAUGUGAAAGCCCGGGGCUUAACCCCGGGACUGCAUUGGAAACUGUCCAUCUUGAGUGCCGAAGAGGUAAGCGGAAUUCCUAGUGUAGCGGUGAAAUGCGUAGAUAUUAGGAGGAACACCAGUGGCGAAGGCGGCUUACUGGACGGUAACUGACGUUGAGGCUCGAAAGCGUGGGGAGCAAACAGGA